UUAAACAAGAAAAAAAAAACCAAACUCCUCAUCUUCUCAUAGAACCAAACAAAACCUCCUCUUCUUCUCACAGAUCCAAACCCAUGGCUUCUCCCGAUUGGGAUAUCUCCAUCUACACUGCUAACCUCGCCGAGCAAACUGAAUGUUAUGAUGAGACAAAUGACCAUAACAGCUUCCAUGUAUGUUGAAAAGUGAAGAGUUAUAUUUGUAAUUGACCCGAUCCUUAUAUGGCAUUAUCAGAUCCAUAACCACCACAAGUGGCCUAGUGGUGGAGUGACUUGGGUUCUCCAAUGGAGACCCAAGUUCAAUUCCCAUUAGUGCCACUUUGGUGGCCACCGACACCCGCUUUAAAGCCGGACCGAGGACACUCGAGGUCUCGGGUUCGAAACAUGUUUCUUACCCCUCUUUGAUGGCUAUGGGUAUUUUCCGCCAGGGAUCCUUGUCGGGUGGUGAACUGGGAAGGGAGAUCCCUUCCGCGGUCAGGGGUACCGUGCAACUACCCUUUUUUAUAUGGCAUUAUCAGAAGGCAGCACUUGCUGUUCAGAACUGUUUGAAUGGGCUCCCCUAUAGUGAAUUUUUUUGCCCAGUAUUCUAGUGCCUCUUGAGUAUGAAUAUUUUCAAUUAGAUGGGGAAAAAAUUUAGACGCAGCUCUGGACUAUAUAUCAACAUACACCUAUUGUAGGGCUGCUGAUAUGAAUGGUUGCUCACUUUUCAAGAUAAUAUACCUUGUGUACUUAAUUUAGUUAGGUGAUUUUCAUGUAAUUAGUAUCGUUGACCAAUGUAGAUAGUAAUUUGUAAUGUGAUAAGGCUAUUUAAUAUAAAUUUAUUCAUGACAUUGCAGUUUCACUAAAUUUUUUGUCUAAUAAUUGUUCCUGUUGUGAUCUAGCAGAGCCGACCUUCCUCUCGAUAUUUGGCGUGUUUGAGUCGUUUUAUUUUACCUUUCUAUAUUUUGACCCGUUUAACUUCAAUUCACCACUUAUUGGCACUUUUGACCGGUGUCAUUUUAUAUGAGAAUUAUAAUGACCAAAAAAAACAAAGUCUUUGUAUCUACUCAACUUUUAAUGAAACCAAAAUCUUAGUAUAUGCUAUUCUACUGGACUUCAAGCUGAUGCACACCUCAUCCUUCUUUCUAGUUUAGACUCUGCUGCACUAAUCAUCAUUCUCUCUCUAGUUUAGACUCAAGUUCCUGAAGAAAAAAAGAAAGAACAACUUCUCUUUUUUGGUGCUUCUAGGGAAGAUUUGAUUCUGCUUGCACUUUUGGGACGACCUUUAGUAUUCGUAUGAACUAGUGGAUCACGAAUAGAAAU
Helianthus annuus (common sunflower) is the source of this 1307-nucleotide long non-coding RNA. RefSeq lists it as uncharacterized. NCBI's taxonomy places the organism in Eukaryota, Viridiplantae, Streptophyta, Magnoliopsida, Asterales, Asteraceae. The transcript is spliced from 4 exons. The record is from RefSeq and is a predicted model, not a curated record.